UAUAGUGAUUGGAGGGACGCAGUAGGCUAAGGUAAGCCAGUUAAUGGAUUCUGGUCUAAGCAGUGAGGUUUGGUAUGAGUCAAAUGCUUGUACCUCUAAGGUUGAGCUGUGAUGGGGAAGCACUUUCGAGUGCGAAGUACCUGAUGUCACACUGCCAAGAAAAUCUUCUAGCGUUUAAUUAUAACCUACCCGUACCGCAAACCGACACAGGUAGUUGAGGCGAGUAGCCUCAGGUGAGCGAGAGAACUCUCGUUAAGGAACUCGGCAAAAUGACCCCGUAACUUCGGGAGAAGGGGUGCUCUACAUUUGUAGAGCCGCAGUGAAUAGGCCCAAGCGACUGUUUAUCAAAAACACAGCUCUCUGCUAAAUCGUAAGAUGAUGUAUAGGGGGUGACGCCCGCCCGGUGCUGGAAGGUUAAGAGGAGUGCUUAGCGUAAGCGAAGGUAUGAAUUGAAGCCCCAGUAAACGGCGGCCGUAACGAUAACGGUCCUAAGGUAGCGAAAUUCCUUGUCGGGUAAGUUCCGACCCGCACGAAAGGCGUAACGAUUUGGGCACUGUCUCAACGAGAGACUCGGUGAAAUUUUAGUACCUGUGAAGAUGCAGGUUACCCGCGACAGGACGGAAAGACCCCAUGGAGCUUUACUGCAAGUUGAUAUUGAGUAUCUGUUGCACAUGUACAGGAUAGGUAGGAGCCAUUGAUCUGAGGACGCUAGUUUUCAGUGAGGCGAUGUUGGGAUACUACCCUUGUGUCAUGGCUACUCUAACCCGCAUGCCUAAUCGGCAUGGGAGACAGUGUCUGCUGGGCAGUUUGACUGGGGCGGUCGCCUCCUAAAGAGUAACGGAGGCGCUCAAAGUUUCCCUCAGCAUGGUUGGAAAUCAUGCGUAGAGUGUAAAGGUAUAAGGGAGAUUGACUGCGAGACUUACAAGUCGAGCAGGUACGAAAGUAGGACUUAGUGAUCCGGUGGUACCGCAUGGAAGGGCCAUCGCUCAACGGAUAAAAGCUACCCUGGGGAUAACAGGCUUAUCUCCCCCAAGAGUUCACAUCGACGGGGAGGUUUGGCACCUCGAUGUCGGCUCGUCGCAUCCUGGGGCUGUAGUCGGUCCCAAGGGUUGGGCUGUUCGCCCAUUAAAGCGGCACGCGAGCUGGGUUCAGAACGUCGUGAGACAGUUCGGUCCCUAUCCGUCGCGGGCGUAGGAAAUUUGAGAGGAUCUGCCCUUAGUACGAGAGGACCGGGGUGGACUUACCGCUGGUGUACCAGUUGUCUUGCCAAAGGCAUCGCUGGGUAGCUAUGUAGGGAACGGAUAAACGCUGAAAGCAUCUAAGUGUGAAACCAACCUCAAGAUGAGAUUUCCCAUUCUUUAUGAAUUAAGAGCCCUGAGAGAUGAUCAGGUAGAUAGGCUAGAAGUGGAAGGACAGUGAUGUUUGGAGCGGACUAGUACUAAUAGCUCGAGGACUUUACC
Molecule: ribosomal RNA, 1460 nt
Filed under: metagenome
Description: bacterial LSU rRNA
Rfam family: Bacterial large subunit ribosomal RNA
Source: RNAcentral